AGAGUUUGAUCCUGGCUCAGAUUGAACGCUGGCGGAAUGCUUUACACAUGCAAGUCGAACGAUGAACCUUAGCUUGCUAAGGGGAUUAGUGGCGAACGGGUGAGUAAUAUAUCGGAACGUACCUUGUAAUGGGGGAUAACUAGUCGAAAGAUUAGCUAAUACCGCAUACGCCCUGAGGGGGAAAGUAGGGGAUCUUCGGACCUUACGUUAUAAGAGCGGCCGAUAUCUGAUUAGCUAGUUGGUGGGGUAAUGGCCUACCAAGGCGACGAUCAGUAGCUGGUCUGAGAGGACGACCAGCCACACUGGAACUGAGACACGGUCCAGACUCCUACGGGAGGCAGCAGUGGGGAAUUUUGGACAAUGGGCGCAAGCCUGAUCCAGCCAUUCCGCGUGAGUGAAGAAGGCCUU
This 408-nucleotide ribosomal RNA is filed under the name uncultured bacterium. RNAcentral describes it as "bacterial SSU rRNA". It matches the Rfam family "Bacterial small subunit ribosomal RNA", at positions 8 to 418 of the family's 1533-position model. The record is from RNAcentral.